RNAcentral lists this ribosomal RNA (467 nucleotides) under uncultured bacterium. Its description in RNAcentral is "partial 16S ribosomal RNA". It matches the Rfam family "Bacterial small subunit ribosomal RNA", at positions 28 to 506 of the family's 1533-position model. The record is from RNAcentral.
GACGAACGCUGGCGGCGUGCUUAACACAUGCAAGUCGAACGGAAAGGCCCUGCUUUUGUGGGGUGCUCGAGUGGCGAACGGGUGAGUAACACGUGAGUAACCUGCCCUUGACUUUGGGAUAACUUCAGGAAACUGGGGCUAAUACCGGAUAGGAGCUCCUGCUGCAUGGUGGGGGUUGGAAAGUUUCGGCGGUUGGGGAUGGACUCGCGGCUUAUCAGCUUGUUGGUGGGGUAGUGGCUUACCAAGGCUUUGACGGGUAGCCGGCCUGAGAGGGUGACCGGCCACAGGGGGCGGGGGAUACGGCCCAGACUCCUGGGGGGGGGAGAGGGGGGAGUUUUGGCAAAAGGGGGGGAAGCAGGGAGCAGAAACGCCGGGGGGGGGAGGACGGCCUUGGGGGUGGAAGCCGCUUUCGCCUGUGACGAAGGGGGGGGGACGGUAAUGGGGAAAAAAGCACCGGGGAACUAGGG